CCCGCACAAGCGGUGGAGCAUGUGGUUUAAUCCGAUGAUACGCGAGGAACCUUACCUGGGCUCAAAUGUAUGUUGACGUAUUCUGAAAGGGAUACUUCUUCGGACAAUAUACAAGGUGCUGCAUGGUUGUCGUCAGCUCGUGCCGUGAGGUGUCGGGUUAAGUCCCAUAACGAGCGCAACCCCUAUCAUUAGUUGCCAUCAGGUCGAGCUGGGGACUCUAAUGAAACUGCCUACGCAAGUAGUGAGGAAGGUGGGGAUGACGUCAAGUCCUCAUGGCCUUUAUGACCAGGGCUACACACGUACUACAAUGGCCGAUACAAAGGGCAGCGACACUGCGAGGUGAAGCCAAUCCCGUAAAAUCGGUCUCAGUCCGGAUUGGAGUCUGCAACUCGACUCCAUGAAGUUGGAAUCGCUAGUAAUCGUGGAUCAGCAUGCCACGGUGAAUACGUUCCCGGGCCUU
Molecule: ribosomal RNA, 460 nt
Filed under: uncultured Cystobacterineae bacterium
Lineage: Bacteria; Pseudomonadati; Myxococcota; Myxococcia; Myxococcales
Description: bacterial SSU rRNA
Rfam family: Bacterial small subunit ribosomal RNA
Source: RNAcentral